GUCAAUUCAUUUAAGUUUCACCGUUGCCGGCGUACUCCCCAGGUGGAUCACUUAACGCUUUCGCUGUGCCGCUUACACUGUAUCGCAAACAGCUAGUGAUCAUCGUUUACUGCGUGGACUACCAGGGUAUCUAAUCCUGUUUGAUCCCCACGCUUUCGUGCAUCAGCGUCAGUCAUGGCUUGGCAGGCUGCCUUCGCAAUCGGGGUUCUGCGUGAUAUCUAAGCAUUUCACCGCUACACCACGCAUUCCGCCUGCCUCAAACAUACUCAAGCCCCCCAGUUUCAACGGCAAUUCUAUGGUUGAGCCACAGACUUUCACCGCUGACUUAAAAGGCCGCCUACGCACCCUUUAAACCCAAUAAAUCCGGAUAACGCUCGGAUCCUCCGUAUUACCGCGGCGG
Molecule: unclassified non-coding RNA, 400 nt
Filed under: uncultured Bacteroidales bacterium
Lineage: Bacteria; Pseudomonadati; Bacteroidota; Bacteroidia; Bacteroidales
Description: contains 16S-23S intergenic spacer region
Source: RNAcentral